RNAcentral lists this ribosomal RNA (305 nucleotides) under uncultured bacterium. RNAcentral describes it as "bacterial SSU rRNA". It matches the Rfam family "Bacterial small subunit ribosomal RNA", at positions 338 to 641 of the family's 1533-position model. The record is from RNAcentral.
CCUACGGGGCGCAGCAGUGAGGAAUAUUGGUCAAUGGGCGCGAGCCUGAACCAGCCAAGUCGCGUGAGGGAAGACGGUCCUAUGGAUUGUAAACCUCUUUUGUCGGGGAGCAAAAGACGCCACGUGUGGCGUUCCGAGAGUACCCGAAGAAAAAGCAUCGGCUAACUCCGUGCCAGCAGCCGCGGUAAUACGGAGGAUGCGAGCGUUAUCCGGAUUUAUUGGGUUUAAAGGGUGCGUAGGCGGGCUGUUAAGUCAGCGGUCAAAUGUCGGGGCUCAACCCCGGCCUGCCGUUGAAACUGGCGGCC